RNAcentral lists this ribosomal RNA (484 nucleotides) under uncultured bacterium. RNAcentral's name for it is "partial 16S ribosomal RNA". It matches the Rfam family "Bacterial small subunit ribosomal RNA", at positions 29 to 507 of the family's 1533-position model. The record is from RNAcentral.
AUUGAACGCUGGCGGCAUGCUUUACACAUGCAAGUCGAACGGCAGCGCGGGCUUCGGCCUGGCGGCGAGUUGCGAACGGGUGAGUAAUGCAUCGGAACGUGCCCAGUAGUGGGGGAUAGCCCGGCGAAAGCCGGAUUAAUACCGCAUACGACCUGAGGGUGAAAGCGGGGGACCGAAAGGCCUCGCGCUAUUGGAGCGGCCGAUGUCGUAUUAGCUAGUUGGUGGGGUAAAGGCUUACCAAGGCAACGAUCCGUAGCUGGUCUGAGAGGACGACCAGCCACACUGGAACUGAGACACGGCCCAGACUCCUACGGGAGGCAGCAGUGGGGAAUUUUGGACAAUGGGGGCAACCCUGAUCCAGCCAUGCCGCGUGAGGGAAGAAGGCCUUCGGGUUGUAAACCGCUUUUGUUCGGGAAGAAAUCCUCUGGGCUAAUACCCCGGGGGGAUGACGGUACCGGAAGAAUAAGCACCGGCUAACUACGUG